AUGAGUACAUUAUGCUGGAACUGUCGCGGAGUGGGCAAUGCCGCAACAGUUCAAGAGCUUCGCGAAUUCGCGAGGAAGUUUGCCCCUACCCUCUUGUGCAUUGUUGAAACACAAAUAGAAGGAGCUAGGGUAGAAAAUUUAGCAAGUUCCUUGGGAUAUGAUUGUUCUUAUGCAGUGGAUAGUCAAGGUAGAAGUGGAGGAAUAGGACUUUUUUGGAACAAUGAAAUAAAGAUUGAUAUUUUGGGUUAUUCGUGCUAUCAUCUUGAUGUUUCUGUUAAAGAAGAAGGGCACGAUUUAUGGAGGCUGACAUGCGUCUAUGGGGAGGCCAAAACCCACCUGCGACACUAG
Molecule: ribosomal RNA, 348 nt
Filed under: Triticum aestivum (bread wheat)
Lineage: Eukaryota; Viridiplantae; Streptophyta; Magnoliopsida; Poales; Poaceae
Description: partial small subunit ribosomal RNA
Source: RNAcentral